This 493-nucleotide ribosomal RNA is filed under the name uncultured bacterium. Its description in RNAcentral is "bacterial SSU rRNA". It matches the Rfam family "Bacterial small subunit ribosomal RNA", at positions 46 to 526 of the family's 1533-position model. The record is from RNAcentral.
GCCUAACACAUGCAAGUCGAGCGAGAACCGGGACUUCGGUCCCGGGGACAGCGGCGAACGGGUGAGUAACACGUGGAUAACCUGCCCUCGGCACCGGGAUAGCCCGGGGAAACCCGGAUUAAUACCGGAUGGCCCUUCCGGCUUUCGAGCCGGUCGGAAAAGGUAGCUUCGGCCUCCGGCCGAGGAUGGGUCCGCGGCGGAUUAGCUUGUUGGUGGGGUAAUGGCCUACCAAGGCUCCGAUCCGUAGCUGGUCUGAGAGGACGAUCAGCCACACUGGGACUGAGACACGGCCCAGACUCCUACGGGAGGCAGCAGUGGGGAAUCUUGCGCAAUGGGCGAAAGCCUGACGCAGCGACGCCGCGUGAGGGAGGAAGGCCUUCGGGUUGUAAACCUCUUUCAGGAGGGACGAAGCUACUCGGGUGAAUAGCCCAGAGGGUGACGGUACCUCCAGAAGAAGCCCCGGCUAACUACGUGCCAGCCGCCGCGGUAAUUC